This 429-nucleotide ribosomal RNA is filed under the name uncultured dinoflagellate. RNAcentral's name for it is "partial 18S rRNA". The record is from RNAcentral. Lineage: Eukaryota; Dinophyceae.
UAAGAACGGCCAUGCACCACCACCCACAGAAUCAAGAAAGAGCUAUCAAUCUGUCAAUCCUUACUAUGUCUGGACCUGGUGAGUUUCCCCGUGUUGAGUCAAAUUAAGCCGCAGGCUCCACUCCUGGUGGUGCCCUUCCGUCAAUUCCUUUAAGUUUCAGUCUUGCGACCAUACUCCCCCUGGAACUCAAAGACUUUGAUUUCUCAAAAAAUGCCGAAGGAAUCAACAGGCAACCGCCUCCAAUUUCUUGGUAGCAUAGUUUAUGGUUAAGACUAGGACGGUAUCUAAUCGUCUUCGAUCCCCUAACUUUCGUUCUUGAUUAAAGAAGACAUCCUUGGCAAAUGCAUUCGCAUUGGUUUGUCUUUAACAAAUCCAAGAAUUUCACCUCUGACAGUUAAAUACAAAUGCCCCCAACCAUCCCCAUCAAUC